RNAcentral lists this ribosomal RNA (460 nucleotides) under uncultured bacterium. RNAcentral's name for it is "partial 16S ribosomal RNA". It matches the Rfam family "Bacterial small subunit ribosomal RNA", at positions 338 to 795 of the family's 1533-position model. The record is from RNAcentral.
CCUACGGGAGGCAGCAGUGAGGAAUAUUGGUCAAUGGGCGCGAGCCUGAACCAGCCAAGUCGCGUGAAGGAUGACUGCCCUCCGGGUUGUAAACUUCUUUUAUAAGGGAAUAAAGUGAGGCACGUGUGCCGUUUUGUAUGUAUUUUAUGAAUAAGGAAUGGACAACCUCGGGCCAGCAGCCGCGGUAAUACGGAGGAUCCGAGCGUUAUCCGGAUUUAUUGGGUUUAAAGGGAGCGUAGAUGGGUUGUUAAGUCAGUUGUGAAAGUUUGGGGCUCAACCGUAGAAUUGCAAUUGAUACUGGCAGCCUUGAGUGCGGUUGAGGUAGGCGGAAUUCGUGGUGUAGCGGUGAAAUGCUUAGAUAUCACGAAGAACUCCGAUUGCGAAGGCAGCCUACUAGACUGCCACUGACAUUGAUGCUCGAAAGUGUGGGUAUCAAACAGGAUUAGAUACCCUAGUAGUC